GUUACUGAAUAUACCACCCUGCGUCCCACUGCUGGCUUGUCUCCGAAGCUAAGCAGGGUUGGGCCUGGUCGGUCUCUGGGUGGGAGACCAGAUGCUGCUAGAAGAGGAGGGCCAGUAGGA
RNAcentral lists this ribosomal RNA (120 nucleotides) under Hucho hucho (huchen). Lineage: Eukaryota; Metazoa; Chordata; Actinopteri; Salmoniformes; Salmonidae. The record is from RNAcentral.